GAUGAACGCUGGCGGCGUGCCUAAUACAUGCAAGUCGAGCGAACGGACGAGAAGCUUGCUUCUCUGAUGUUAGCGGCGGACGGGUGAGUAACACGUGGAUAACCUACCUAUAAGACUGGGAUAACUUCGGGAAACCGGAGAUAAUACCGGAUAAUAUUUUGAACCGCAGGGUUCAAAAGUGAAAGACGGUCUUGCUGUCACUUAUAGAUGGAUCCGCGUUGCAUUAGCUAGUUGGUAAGGUAACGGCUUACCAAGGCAACGAUGCAUAGCCGAUCUGAGAGGGUGAUCGGCCACACUGGAACUGAGACACGGUCCAGACUCCUACGGGAGGCAGCAGUAGGGAAUCUUCCACAAUGGGCGAAAGCCUGACGGAGCAACGCCGCGUGAGUGAUGAAGGUCUUCGGAUCGUAAAACUCUUUUAUUAGGGAAGAACAUAUGUGUAAGUAUCUGUGCACAUCUUGACGGUACCUAAUCAGAAAGCCCCGGCUAACUACGUG
Molecule: ribosomal RNA, 497 nt
Filed under: uncultured bacterium
Lineage: Bacteria
Description: partial 16S ribosomal RNA
Rfam family: Bacterial small subunit ribosomal RNA
Source: RNAcentral